Long non-coding RNA from Dreissena polymorpha, 1123 nucleotides. RefSeq lists it as uncharacterized. The transcript is spliced from 8 exons. The record is from RefSeq and is a predicted model, not a curated record. Lineage: Eukaryota; Metazoa; Mollusca; Bivalvia; Myida; Dreissenidae.
AUGCAGCCUGUGCAGUUCCGGGAGAAAGUCACUGUCUUGGGCAAUGCGGUCUGGUAUCAGGUCUGGAUGAUCCUUGCCUGACUGCGGGUUUGUGUACACCUCAAUCCGACUCUGUGUCCUGAACAGAGGCCGCAGUGGUGCAGCGCUUGUGGACGAUCCAUCAACAUCCUGAAAGGUCAACACUACACCAAGCUGGGAAAAUUGAUCCUGAUAGUCAUCCCCAGGCCUGACCGUUUGUCCUUGAGCCGUAGAUGGUCAACAAUCCGCUAGCUGUCUUGCUCUGACUGGUGCACUGGACAUGAUUUCAAUUGUCAGCCAGACCAUGAUUGAGCUUAAGGGUUGUGCUGCGGAUGCAGCCUGUGCAGUUCCGGGAGAAAGUCACUGUCUUGGGCAAUGCGGUCUGGUAUCAGGUCUGGAUGAUCCUUGCCUGACUGCGGGUUUGUGUACACCUCAAUCCGACUCUGUGUCCUGAACAGAGGCCGCAGUGGUGCAGCGCUUGUGGACGAUCCAUCAACAUCCUGAAAGGUCAACACUACACCAAGCUGGGAAAAUUGAUCCUGAUAGUCAUCCCCAGGCCUGACCGUUUGUCCUUGAGCCGUAGAUGGUCAACAAUCCGCUAGCUGUCUUGCUCUGACUGGUGCACUGGACAUGAUUUCAAUUGUCAGCCAGACCAUGAUUGAGCUUAAGGGUUGUGCUGCGGAUGCAGCCUGUGCAGUUCCGGGAGAAAGUCACUGUCUUGGGCAAUGCGGUCUGGUAUCAGGUCUGGAUGAUCCUUGCCUGACUGCGGGUUUGUGUACACCUCAAUCCGACUCUGUGUCCUGAACAGAGGCCGCAGUGGUGCAGCGCUUGUGGACGAUCCAUCAACAUCCUGAAAGGUCAACACUACACCAAGCUGGGAAAAUUGAUCCUGAUAGUCAUCCCCAGGUAGUGGAAUGAAUGUUCACUGAACUACAGAGGAAUCACACCCAAAUGACUUUCCUGCCACGACAUAAGUGUGGCCACUCGCGUAGGAAUUCCUUAGCAAACAUGCUCUUUUGCAUGGUGACUGUGGACAUUUUUGCAAAACUUACGCUUUCAACACUGGAUUUUAAAGAGAAUACUUAAUAAAAUGUCGCUAACAGGA